RNAcentral lists this ribosomal RNA (432 nucleotides) under uncultured bacterium. RNAcentral describes it as "partial 16S ribosomal RNA". It matches the Rfam family "Bacterial small subunit ribosomal RNA", at positions 29 to 507 of the family's 1533-position model. The record is from RNAcentral.
ACGAACGCUGGCGGCAUGCCUAACACAUGCAAGUCGAACGAGACCUUCGGGUCUAGUGGCGCACGGGUGCGUAACGCGUGGGAACCUGCCCUUAGGUUCGGAAUAACUCCCCGAAAGGGGUGCUAAUACCGGAUAAUGUCUUCGGACCAAAGAUUUAUCGCCUUUGGAUGGGCCCGCGUUGGAUUAGCUAGUUGGUAGGGUAAAAGCCUACCAAGGCGACGAUCCAUAGCUGGUCUGAGAGGAUGAUCAGCCACACUGGGACUGAGACACGGCCCAGACUCCUACGGGAGGCAGCAGUGGGGAAUAUUGGACAAUGGGCGAAAGCCUGAUCCAGCAAUGCCGCGCGAGUGAUGAAGGCCUUAGGGUUGUAAAGCUCUUUUACCCGGGAUGAUAAUGACAGUACCGGGAGAAUAAGCUCCGGCUAACUCCGUG